AACUUUCAACAACGGAUCUCUUGGUUCUGGCAUCGAUGAAGAACGCAGCAAAAUGCGAUAAGUAAUGUGAAUUGCAGAAUUCAGUGAAUCAUCGAAUCUUUGAACGCACAUUGCGCCCGCCAGUAUUCUGGCGGGC
RNAcentral lists this ribosomal RNA (136 nucleotides) under Fusarium equiseti. Its description in RNAcentral is "5.8S ribosomal RNA". It matches the Rfam family "5.8S ribosomal RNA", at positions 1 to 136 of the family's 154-position model. Rfam says of the family: 5.8S ribosomal RNA (5.8S rRNA) is a component of the large subunit of the eukaryotic ribosome. It is transcribed by RNA polymerase I as part of the 45S precursor that also contains 18S and 28S rRNA. Functionally, it is thought that 5.8S rRNA may be involved in ribosome translocation. The record is from RNAcentral. Lineage: Eukaryota; Fungi; Ascomycota; Sordariomycetes; Hypocreales; Nectriaceae.